CUCGUGUCGUGAGAUGUUGGUUAAGUCCCGCAACGAGCGCAACCCCUAUUGUUAGUUGCCAUCAUUCAGUUGGGCGACUCUAGCGAGACUGCCGGUAAUAAACCGGAGGAAGGUGGGGAUGACGUCAAAUCAUCAUGCCCCUUAUGACCUGGGCUACACACGUGCUACAAUGGUUGGUACAACGAGUUGCGAGUCGGUGACGGCGAGCUAAUCUCUUAAAGCCAAUCUCAGUUCGGAUUGCAGGCUGCAACUCGCCUGCAUGAAGCCGGAAUCGCUAGUAAUCGCGGAUCAGCAUGCCGCGGUGAAUACGUUCCCGGGCCUU
Molecule: ribosomal RNA, 322 nt
Filed under: uncultured Streptococcus sp.
Lineage: Bacteria; Bacillati; Bacillota; Bacilli; Lactobacillales; Streptococcaceae
Description: bacterial SSU rRNA
Rfam family: Bacterial small subunit ribosomal RNA
Source: RNAcentral